Molecule: ribosomal RNA, 978 nt
Filed under: Triticum aestivum (bread wheat)
Lineage: Eukaryota; Viridiplantae; Streptophyta; Magnoliopsida; Poales; Poaceae
Description: partial small subunit ribosomal RNA
Source: RNAcentral
AUGGAAGAGCAGGCACCUCCUGUUCCAACAUCUCGAAUUUCAGUCAGAAAAGCAGUAGAAGUAAUCCAGACAUUUGACGAUUACAAAAGGUGGCUCGUCACUGAAAUUGGGUUUGGUGGAAUGUUAAAGCUACCCAUGUUGCAGAAGCUUAAUCUUAAGUUCAGCGCAUGGACUAUGAGCAAGGUCUGUGUUGAGCGUCGAGCAAUUGUUCUAUCAGAAACAAAAGUACUCAAGUUUUUUGCGGAGGACAUCCACAAGGUGUUCGGCAUACCAUGUGGCCACCGGAAUGUUAAAGGCCGCGAUGGGUUCAUCAAGCCAGAGGCUGUGACCUUCAUAAAGAGGACGCUAGGGAUGGACAGGACGGGUGUGCAUAGUCUACGCGCGGCUGAGGAAUUCCUUAUGCGCGACAUUUCUGAGGCGUCCAGCAAGAUAGAGAAGGAUUGCUUCCAAAUUGCAUUUGUCAUUUUUGUUAUGGGACACGUUCUGGCACCUAGGACAAAAUACGAUUAUGGCACCAUAGACUAUUGGGGUGCACUUGCAAACAUGGAGAAUAUCACGCAAUAUAAUUGGUGUGAGUUUGUACUGGAGUUUUUGCUCGAGGCAGUCCGGCGGCUUAAGAAUGAUAUGAUGGCCAACAACCAUAGUACAAACCUGGUUGGUUGCCACUUGUUUCUUCAGGUUUGUAAACAUGUGUUUUUCAGUACACACCCUCCUGUGCACCGAAAUCUGUCAUUUGCUUUUAUGGUACAUGCUCAUUCCCAUGCCUGCUCUGUAAAACCUUUGUCUCUUUUUCAGAUAUUCUUCCUUGACAAUGUUGACCUUGGAAUUUUCAACAAGAAGCACAAUGUUCUUCCACGCAUUAGUGAUUUCGACCAGAAUAGCCGGAAGAACAUGAUAACGAUAGCCACUGACAUUGGGAAGGGCCCCACUUCAUAUGUAAAAUGCAUGGUAAACAUUGCAGCACAGAUGACAACAUAG